ACCACUAAGCCAGUGGUGAACUCCACAUACGCAUCCUUUGCUGAGGAUACGGUUAACGGAGCGAAAGCGACGUUCAACCGCAAAAGAAGCAGAGGGGGCUUAGUGGUGGGGUGACUGCGUACCUUUUGUAUAAUGGGUCAGCGACUUAUAUUCUGUAGCAAGGUUAACCGAAUAGGGGAGCCGGAGGGAAACCGAGUCUUAACCGGGCGUUAAGUUGCAGGGUAUAGACCCGAAACCCGGUGAUCUAGCCAUGGGCAGGUUGAAGGUUGGGUAACACUAACUGGAGGACCGAACCGACUAAUGUUGAAAAAUUAGCGGAUGACCUGUGGCUGGGGGUGAAAGGCCAAUCAAACCGGGAGAUAGCUGGUUCUCCCCGAAAGCUAUUUAGGUAGCGCCUCGUGAAUUCAUCUCCGGGGGUAGAGCACUGUUUCGGCUAGGGGGCCAUCCCGGCUUACCAACCCGAUGCAAACUGCGAAUACCGGAGAAUGUUAUCACGGGAGACACACGGCGGGUGCUAACGUCCGUCGUGAAGAGGGAAACAACCCAGACCGCCAGCUAAGGUCCCAAAGUCAUGGUUAAGUGGGAAACGAUGUGGGAAGGCCCAGACAGCCAGGAUGUUGGCUUAGAAGCAGCCAUCAUUUAAAGAAAGCGUAAUAGCUCACUGGUCGAGUCGGCCUGCGCGGAAGAUGUAACGGGGCUAAACCAU
This 706-nucleotide ribosomal RNA is filed under the name Salmonella enterica subsp. enterica serovar Dublin. RNAcentral's name for it is "partial 23S ribosomal RNA". It matches the Rfam family "Bacterial large subunit ribosomal RNA", at positions 1 to 1190 of the family's 2925-position model. Lineage: Bacteria; Pseudomonadati; Pseudomonadota; Gammaproteobacteria; Enterobacterales; Enterobacteriaceae. The record is from RNAcentral.